RNAcentral lists this ribosomal RNA (588 nucleotides) under uncultured bacterium. RNAcentral's name for it is "bacterial SSU rRNA". It matches the Rfam family "Bacterial small subunit ribosomal RNA", at positions 338 to 916 of the family's 1533-position model. The record is from RNAcentral.
CCUACGGGAGUCAGCAGUGGGGAAUUUUUGGACAAUGGGCGCAAGCCUGAUCCAGCCAUGCCGCGUGUGGGAAGAAGGCCUUCGGGUUGUAAACCACUUUUGUCAGGGAAGAAACGGUCUGGUCUAAUAAACCGGACUAAUGACGGUACCUGAAGAAUAAGCACCGGCUAACUACGUGCCAGCAGCCGCGGUAAUACGUAGGGUGCAAGCGUUAAUCGGAAUUACUGGGCGUAAAGCGUGCGCAGGCGGCUUUGCAAGACAGAUGUGAAAUCCCCGGGCUCAACCUGGGAACUGCAUUUGUGACUGCAAGGCUAGAGUACGGCAGAGGGGGGAUGGAAUUCCGCGUGUAGCAGUGAAAUGCGUAGAUAUGCGGAGGAACACCGAUGGCGAAGGCAAUCCCCUGGGCCUGUACUGACGCUCAUGCACGAAAGCGUGGGGAGCAAACAGGAUUAGAUACCCUGGUAGUCCACGCCCUAAACGAUGUCAACUGGUUGUUGGGAGGGUUUCUUCUCAGUAACGAAGCUAACGCGUGAAGUUGACCGCCUGGGGAGUACGGCCGCAAGGUUGAAACGUCAAAGGAAUUGACGG